RNAcentral lists this unclassified non-coding RNA (2777 nucleotides) under Hevea brasiliensis (rubber tree). Lineage: Eukaryota; Viridiplantae; Streptophyta; Magnoliopsida; Malpighiales; Euphorbiaceae. The record is from RNAcentral.
UACGGUAAAAUAAUUAUAUUUUAUGAAAUAAGUAACCAUAGAAUACACGAUAAAUUAAUACUCAAAAACCCCAAAUUGUUCAAGUGAUAAUUUCAACCGCAAGUGAAUCUAACUCCAAUAUGAUGGCCAUGGUCUCUACAUCAGGAAUGGGAGUGAAAUAAAAUUAUUGAUAUAGAGAAUGGAAUUACAAUGACCAACGUCCCUCCUCAUCCUUCAUAUAUUAAUUUUAACAUUCAUCUAAAGAGUUUACACGUCAUAUGUUGCAAACUCACUUGCUGUAUAGUAAAAUCAUACUCACAUGUUUAGCUUAACUAUUGUAUAUAUUCUAUGAACUAUAAACCCUGUAAUGCACAUAUAAUGUGCUAGAAGAAAACAAGUCCUUUAUCGAUCAUUGAGCGAAAGAGGCUCAAUUAUCACCGAUAAUACACGUUUCUUUGAUCGUUCAUCUGGAGCACUAUGCCCAUCUCCAUACUGAUAUGUACAAUGGGCUGUGCGAGCAAGGUUAAAUGCUGUUUCAAUAAAAGGUUUUGCAAAUAUAGAGUUCUCAACUCUUUCUUUGUUCAUCUUCUUCCAGAUUUCAUCAAUCAAAUUCCUCAUUUGCUUACUUGCAAGUUCCUCAGAAAGACCAUUGUCAUUCAGGUAGCACACAAUAGAAUUUGCAGUUUCACCUCUUUCUAAUUCGGCCUGCAUUACAUAAAAUUAAUCACUUAAUGUGAUGAAAUGUCAAUUAUAAUAAACCAAUAAAAUAUACCCUUUUCUCCUAAAAUAGAUCAGCAACUAGUGACAUUUUGACUCAUUCUCUCACUACAUUCAUAUUCUAUCUCUUAAGAGCAAAGCAUAUCAGGAUCACUCUCUGACAUGACAGUCACAGGAUUCCAACUGGGACACAUCUCUGGAGCCUCUUGACUUCUCUUUGCCAGGUCCCUUCAACUAAGACAAGAUCGUGGGAUCUUUUAUUAUGAUUCAAAGAUUCUAUUUAGUUAUUUGUCUUUUGUAAUCUGCUGCAGGUGGAAUUUCUGUUUGCUUUGACAUAUAAAUAUUAUCCUGCUGCUUGUUAUAUAUGACAUGCCACUUUCUUAUUCUUUGGGCUGCUGAUAGUUAACUUAGCAUCUAUGAGUCUAGGAGAAGUUCACCAUAGGUUAUGAUACACUACCUCCACUUCAUCAAAAACAGAAACAGAAAAAGAACAGAACGAGGGAGAAGCAAUAACCAUCAACAUUUCAAUUUAGCUCAAAAAGAAAAAUAAGGAAAGCAUAUACUCAUAACAUACCGAUGCAGAAACCAAAUCGUUGCAUAGCCGAAAGAUGGUGGAAGGCCAGCGCAAGAGAUCAUAGUACUUUUCUAAGCCUUCAGCCUCCUGCUCUGUGAUACUGUCACUUAUCAGGCAAUUGGCAUGAACUAAUACAAGGGGCCCUGAUGAAGACAUCCAUGCAUUUUCAAGAUACUCCUCGUAUGAGGGUGUGGACUUUCUGUAAAACCAUUUUGCUUCUUGUAGGAAUGCGUUGCACAUAUCAGCCCAUGCAUUUGUAAGGUAUGGAAGAAUGUUUAUUCCUUUCUCCUUAAGGUUUUCAUAAGCCAUCUCAUUAACAGUAUUAUACAGAGCUAAAAAGCACAGCUUCAGAUAAUCUGGAAGAUUGUUGAUUGCCUUGACAUCCCAUCUUUGAAUAGCAUCUGUAAGCAGUUCCAACUCAUCCAAAGUAGCAUAAACAUCAUACACAUCAUCAAAAAGCGUUACUAAUGCAACCGCUUUUGUUAGACCUUUACGGCAACUGCUGUAUUGUGGUUCAAAAAUCAUUCCUACUGCCCAAAAGAAGGACUCCAUUAAUCUGUCUCUAGCAAAGUUCAGCUUGGUUGCAAGACCCAUGGUCCUCCACCACCUUGACACGUCUCGAAGAUCUUUUUGGAGAUGUGACUGCACCAUGUUGAAAUCCAUUACAGCAAGCUCAAGCAGUGCUCGAUUAGCAUCUUCCCUUUUACUGUAUGCAUCAAUACUCCACAGAGCCUCCAAUCGCUGCGUUCUACGAUGCAAAGGAAGCUCUAAUUCAUGAUUCAACUGUUCUACAAUGUGAUUGCUUUCUUUUUCUUUGAGGCUUUUUAGAUGUAAUCUUGUGAAUGAAUUGGCCUCAUCCAAUAUUGUUUCUCCUUCAAACGCGAGAUAUGAAGCUUCAUACAGACUCAACAUUGCCUUAAUGUCCUCUUUAAGGCACUCCUUGAAAUUCCCAUAUUCAUCCUUGAAUUUCAUAAACACAUCUGGAGAGACCUCAAAACCAUGUUCUCUGAGGAGCCUGAAACUAAGAGCCGUAGCAUGUAGGCUAUCAAUUCUUUCCACAUCAAGUCCUCCCAAAGACACAAAUCUUUCAAGGGCUUUCCUUAUCUCGGACUCGAAACGGUACCCCAAUCCUAGCCUUUGGACGGUAUCAAUCAAGUCAAGAACAGAGAGCAACUCUGCUUUUUCAUUGGUAAUCAUACUUCUCACCUCUUGCUCCAGCCUAGUUGCCUCAUCUUUGUAUGUCUCAACCGAAUGAUCAUUCUUCAAGGACUGCAAAUAGUCAUAACUCCAUAUGUUAGGCUGAAAGUUGGCCGACCUUCUAGACUCCGUUAAACUGGAAUUUUCGUUGGCCACCGAGCAACGUACUUGCAGAGUCAUGGGAGUGCCAUGGAGACGGAGAUGAAAGGCUCUUUGCAAGGGAAAUCUGUAUAGUUUUUGUGUUGAUGAUGAGAAUGGACGUGGCAAGCACAGCAGUUCAGUCGCCAUGAAUAGCCACACCAACAACAGA